This 1000-nucleotide ribosomal RNA is filed under the name actinobacterium MPD-60. Its description in RNAcentral is "bacterial SSU rRNA". It matches the Rfam family "Bacterial small subunit ribosomal RNA", at positions 505 to 1501 of the family's 1533-position model. Lineage: Bacteria; Bacillati; Actinomycetota; Actinomycetes. The record is from RNAcentral.
GUGCCAGCAGCCGCGGUAAUACGUAGGGCGCAAGCGUUAUCCGGAAUUAUUGGGCGUAAAGAGCUCGUAGGCGGUUUGUCGCGUCUGCUGUGAAAUCCGGAGGCUCAACCUCCGGCCUGCAGUGGGUACGGGCAGACUAGAGUGCGGUAGGGGAGAUUGGAAUUCCUGGUGUAGCGGUGGAAUGCGCAGAUAUCAGGAGGAACACCGAUGGCGAAGGCAGAUCUCUGGGCCGUAACUGACGCUGAGGAGCGAAAGGGUGGGGAGCAAACAGGCUUAGAUACCCUGGUAGUCCACCCCGUAAACGUUGGGAACUAGUUGUGGGGUCCAUUCCACGGAUUCCGUGACGCAGCUAACGCAUUAAGUUCCCCGCCUGGGGAGUACGGCCGCAAGGCUAAAACUCAAAGGAAUUGACGGGGACCCGCACAAGCGGCGGAGCAUGCGGAUUAAUUCGAUGCAACGCGAAGAACCUUACCAAGGCUUGACAUAUACGAGAACGGGCCAGAAAUGGUCAACUCUUUGGACACUCGUAAACAGGUGGUGCAUGGUUGUCGUCAGCUCGUGUCGUGAGAUGUUGGGUUAAGUCCCGCAACGAGCGCAACCCUCGUUCUAUGUUGCCAGCACGUAAUGGUGGGAACUCAUGGGAUACUGCCGGGGUCAACUCGGAGGAAGGUGGGGAUGACGUCAAAUCAUCAUGCCCCUUAUGUCUUGGGCUUCACGCAUGCUACAAUGGCCGGUACAAAGGGCUGCAAUACCGCGAGGUGGAGCGAAUCCCAAAAAGCCGGUCCCAGUUCGGAUUGAGGUCUGCACCUCGACCUCAUGAAGUCGGAGUCGCUAGUAAUCGCAGAUCAGCAACGCUGCGGUGAAUACGUUCCCGGGUCUUGUACACACCGCCCGUCAAGUCAUGAAAGUCGGUAACACCUGAAGCCGGUGGCCUAACCCUUGUGGAGGGAGCCGUCGAAGGUGGGAUCGGUAAUUAGGACUAAGUCGUAACAAGGUAGCC